CCUACGGGGGGCAGCAGUGGGGAAUAUUGGACAAUGGGGGGAACCCUGAUCCAGCCAUGCCGCGUGUGUGAAGAAGGCCCUCGGGUUGUAAAGCACUUUCAGUGAGGAAGAACGCCUGGUGGUUAAUACCCAUCAGGAAAGACAUCACUCACAGAAGAAGCACCGGCUAACUCCGUGCCAGCAGCCGCGGUAAUACGGAGGGUGCGAGCGUUAAUCGGAAUUACUGGGCGUAAAGCGCGCGUAGGUGGCUUGAUAAGCCGGUUGUGAAAGCCACGGGCUCAACCUGGGAACGGCAUCCGGAACUGUCAAGCUAGAGUGCAGGAGAGGAAGGUAGAAUUCCCGGUGUAGCGGUGAAAUGCGUAGAGAUCGGGAGGAAUACCAGUGGCGAAGGCGGCCUUCUGGACUGACACUGACACUGAGGUGCGAAAGCGUGGGUAGCAAACAGGAUUAGAUACCCUAGUAGUC
This 465-nucleotide ribosomal RNA is filed under the name Vreelandella stevensii. RNAcentral describes it as "partial 16S ribosomal RNA". It matches the Rfam family "Bacterial small subunit ribosomal RNA", at positions 338 to 795 of the family's 1533-position model. The record is from RNAcentral. Lineage: Bacteria; Pseudomonadati; Pseudomonadota; Gammaproteobacteria; Oceanospirillales; Halomonadaceae.